GGAAAAAUAGGUGUGUGCACAGGCUCUUUUAGUUUCUACUUGUUUUAAGUGGAUUUUGGCAGUAGAAAUAAUGCUGAAGUUCCUUGGAAUUGUGCAAAUUAUAAGGCAUUAUGGAGCAUUAAGAAUUUGGAUAGACAGGAUGCUCAUAUUUUCAAAUAUCAGAUGUUGUCUUUAAUUUGGAUAUGGGACAAAGCGGUUAUU
RNAcentral lists this unclassified non-coding RNA (201 nucleotides) under Hevea brasiliensis (rubber tree). Lineage: Eukaryota; Viridiplantae; Streptophyta; Magnoliopsida; Malpighiales; Euphorbiaceae. The record is from RNAcentral.